This 497-nucleotide ribosomal RNA is filed under the name uncultured bacterium. RNAcentral describes it as "partial 16S ribosomal RNA". It matches the Rfam family "Bacterial small subunit ribosomal RNA", at positions 28 to 507 of the family's 1533-position model. The record is from RNAcentral.
GACGAACGCUGGCGGCGUGCCUAAUACAUGCAAGUUGAGCGCUGAAGGUUGGUACUUGUACCGACUGGAUGAGCAGCGAACGGGUGAGUAACGCGUGGGGAAUCUGCCUUUGAGCGGGGGACAACAUUUGGAAACGAAUGCUAAUACCGCAUAAAAACUUUAAACACAAGUUUUAAGUUUGAAAGAUGCAAUUGCAUCACUCAAAGAUGAUCCCGCGUUGUAUUAGCUAGUUGGUGAGGUAAAGGCUCACCAAGGCGAUGAUACAUAGCCGACCUGAGAGGGUGAUCGGCCACAUUGGGACUGGGACACGGCCCAAACUCCUACGGGAGGCAGCAGUAGGGAAUCUUCGGCAAUGGACGAAAGUCUGACCGAGCAACGCCGCGUGAGUGAAGAAGGGUUUCGGAUCGUAAAACUCUGUUGGUAGAGAAGAACGUUGGUGGGAGUGGAAAGCUCAUCAAGUGACGGUAACUACCCAGAAAGGGACGGCUAACUACGUG